This 253-nucleotide ribosomal RNA is filed under the name uncultured bacterium. RNAcentral's name for it is "partial 16S ribosomal RNA". It matches the Rfam family "Bacterial small subunit ribosomal RNA", at positions 524 to 776 of the family's 1533-position model. The record is from RNAcentral.
UACGAAGGGGGCUAGCGUUGCUCGGAAUCACUGGGCGUAAAGGGUGCGUAGGCGGGUCUUUAAGUCAGAGGUGAAAUCCUGGAGCUCAACUCCAGAACUGCCUUUGAUACUGAGGAUCUUGAGUUCGGGAGAGGUGAGUGGAACUGCGAGUGUAGAGGUGAAAUUCGUAGAUAUUCGCAAGAACACCAGUGGCGAAGGCGGCUCACUGGCCCGGUACUGACGCUGAGGCACGAAAGCGUGGGGAGCAAACAGG